CAGGCAAGUUCAAGCCCAGAGCCCACCCUGAACACCUGACCUGGCCAAGUGUCAGAGGAGCGGGCCUCCCCUGAAGCGCUGCUGAGUAUGGAAGCCUGCUUGGCAAGUGGAGAUAGUGGCCAUGUUACAGCAGGGGGUUCACAGAGUCAGCAGUCUGGAGAGAACAAAGCAACAUGCCUUGGGUUCUGUGACCUGCCUGGCUACAGCAGAUGUUUGUGCAGUCCCUGCUCAACCGUAAACUAAAAGAAGUGGGAGAACCAGCACAAAGGAUAUUUCUCAUUGUUUACUAAGCUUGACAGUUGUAGCUUCAGCUGUAAUUGACCUCUUCGUUACUGUUGAUAUGUCCGACAAGCCAUCUCACACCAC
Sinocyclocheilus rhinocerous is the source of this 366-nucleotide long non-coding RNA. RefSeq lists it as uncharacterized. The transcript is spliced from 4 exons. Lineage: Eukaryota; Metazoa; Chordata; Actinopteri; Cypriniformes; Cyprinidae. The record is from RefSeq and is a predicted model, not a curated record.